AGAGUUUGAUCAUGGCUCAGGAUGAACGCUGGCGGCGUGCCUAACACAUGCAAGUCGAACGGCCUCGCAAGAGGCAGUGGCGCACGGGUGCGGAACACGUAGCUGACCUGCCCCAAAGUGGGGGAUAACCGGCGGAAACGCUGGCUAAGACCGCAUACGCUGGUGAGGGCCAGAAGCUCACCAGGAAAGCUUGAUGCGCUUUGGGAGGGGGCUGCGGCCCAUCAGGUGGUUGGUGGGGUAACGGCCUACCAAGCCGAAGACGGGUAACGGGUCUGAGAGGAUGACCCGUCACCCUGGGACUGAGACACGGCCCAGACUCCUACGGGAGGCAGCAGUGGGGAAUCUUGCGCAAGGCGCGAAAGCGUGACGCAGCAACGCCGCGUGAGGGAAGACGGCCUUCGGGUUGUAAACCUCUUUCAGGAGGGACGAAGGUGCGGGGGCGAAUAGCCUCCCGUACUGACGGUACCUCCAGAAGAAGCUCCGGCUAACUACGUGCCAGCCGCCGCGGUAAUUC
RNAcentral lists this ribosomal RNA (514 nucleotides) under uncultured bacterium. Its description in RNAcentral is "bacterial SSU rRNA". It matches the Rfam family "Bacterial small subunit ribosomal RNA", at positions 8 to 526 of the family's 1533-position model. The record is from RNAcentral.